RNAcentral lists this ribosomal RNA (279 nucleotides) under uncultured bacterium. RNAcentral's name for it is "partial 16S ribosomal RNA". It matches the Rfam family "Bacterial small subunit ribosomal RNA", at positions 506 to 784 of the family's 1533-position model. The record is from RNAcentral.
UGCCAGCCGCCGCGGUAAUACGGAGGGUGCGAGCGUUAAUCGGAAUUACUGGGCGUAAAGCGCGCGUAGGCGGCUGAGUAAGUCAGAUGUGAAAGCCCCGGGCUCAACCUGGGAAUGGCAUUUGAGACUGUUCGGCUAGAGUCUGUCAGAGGGUGGCGGAAUUCCGGGUGUAGCGGUGAAAUGCGUAGAUAUCCGGAGGAACAUCGGUGGCGAAGGCGGCCACCUGGGGCAAGACUGACGCUGAGGGGCGAAAGCGUGGGGAGCGAACAGGAUUAGAUA